ACACUGUACGAGUUUGAUCAUGGCUCAGAUUGAACGCUGGCGGCAGGCUUAACACAUGCAAGUCGAGCGGAGACUUCGGUCUUAGCGGCGAACGGGUGAGGAAUGCCUGGGAAUCUGCCUGUUAGUGGGGGAUAACGAAUCGAAAGGUUUGCUAAUACCGCAUACGUCCUACGGGAGAAAGCAGGGGACCUUCGGGCCUUGCGCUAACAGAUGAGCCCAGGUCGGAUUAGCUAGUAGGUGGGGUAAAGGCUCACCUAGGCGACGAUCCGUAGCUGGUCUGAGAGGAUGAUCAGCCACACUGGGACUGAGACACGGCCCAGACUCCUACGGGAGGCAGCAGUGGGGAAUCUUAGACAAUGGGCGCAAGCCUGAUCUAGCCAUGCCGCGUGAUCGAUGAAGGCCUUAGGGUUGUAAAGAUCUUUCAGUGGGGAAGAUAAUGACUGUACCCACAGAAGAAGCCCCGGCUAACUCCGUG
RNAcentral lists this ribosomal RNA (475 nucleotides) under uncultured bacterium. RNAcentral's name for it is "bacterial SSU rRNA". It matches the Rfam family "Bacterial small subunit ribosomal RNA", at positions 1 to 507 of the family's 1533-position model. The record is from RNAcentral.